UUUUAAUUGGUUAAUACAUACAUAUUUAAUAUUUUAUUUUUAAGGAUUUGCAUAAAAAAUUAAUAUUAUAAAUUUAUUUUAAUAUUACGUUUCCAAAAAUGUUGGAAAACAUUGCAUUAACAAUUUCCAAAUUUUCGAAAAAAGAAUCCCAAUUUUUAAGCGAUUUUCGUUUCCCCCUUUUCCUUCUAUAUUUCAGCUAUUUGAAUAUUUUUUCGCGAUAUACCGCUGCUUGAACGAAACAGAGCAUGAAAUUUGCUCGUUGUGCAUGACAUGAAAAGCAAUCGUUUACAUUAGAGGAAGUGUACGAUUGUUUCGCAACGGAUCGAGCAAGAUUCGAUUACGAGAAAAAAUCGCAGAUGAGGUUAGGUGGCGUGCAAGCAUUGUUACAUAUAUGUGCAUGAUCGUUCUUAGUUUGAAGGUAUAACCUGUGCAAGUGAGGUAACGAGAUUUAUCGUAAAGAUUCGAUUUUGCAUUUAAAUUAUCGUCGAAAAAUAAUAAUAAAUUUAUUGCGCGAGUAAAUAUUAAUUUAUUCAGUUUAUUUAAAUGUUUGGUGUAAUAAAUAUAUGUGAAGCUUUGAAUGGAUUUACGAAAGAGCAAGUGAUAAAAUAAAGUAAAUAGUCUUUAUCUCUUUGAUCAUAAAACUUAAGUGCAACUGAACACAUAAUGGAACAAGGAAAUAUUUGUGCAAUGCGAUAGAUUAUUGGCGAUAACGAACAUCUGCACAUGAAAUAUUUUUAUUAUAUA
Apis dorsata (giant honeybee) is the source of this 744-nucleotide long non-coding RNA. RefSeq lists it as uncharacterized. The transcript is spliced from 2 exons. NCBI's taxonomy places the organism in Eukaryota, Metazoa, Arthropoda, Insecta, Hymenoptera, Apidae. The record is from RefSeq and is a predicted model, not a curated record.